GACGAACGCUGGCGGCGUGCUUAACACAUGCAAGUCGAACGGAAAGGCCCUGCUUUUGUGGGGUGCUCGAGUGGCGAACGGGUGAGUAACACGUGAGUAACCUGCCCUUGACUUUGGGAUAACUUCAGGAAACUGGGGCUAAUACCGGAUAGGAGCUCCUGCUGCAUGGUGGGGGGUGGAAAGGUUCCGGCGGUGGGGGAUGGACCCGCGGCUUAUCAGCUUGUUGGUGGGGUAUUGGCUUACCAAGGCUUUGACGGGUAGCCGGCCUGAGAGGGUGACCGGCCACAUUGGGACUGAGAUACGGCCCAGACUCCUACGGGAGGCAGCAGUGGGGAAUAUUGCACAAUGGGCGGAAGCCUGAUGCAGCAACGCCGCGUGCGGGAUGACGGCCUUCGGGUUGUAAACCGCUUUCGCCUGUGACGAAGCGUGAGUGACGGUAAUGGGUAAAGAAGCACCGGCUAACUACGUG
This 469-nucleotide ribosomal RNA is filed under the name uncultured bacterium. Its description in RNAcentral is "partial 16S ribosomal RNA". It matches the Rfam family "Bacterial small subunit ribosomal RNA", at positions 28 to 507 of the family's 1533-position model. The record is from RNAcentral.